Molecule: ribosomal RNA, 430 nt
Filed under: Bacillota bacterium
Lineage: Bacteria; Bacillati; Bacillota
Description: Firmicutes bacterium partial 16S ribosomal RNA
Rfam family: Bacterial small subunit ribosomal RNA
Source: RNAcentral
UGGGGAAUAUUGGACAAUGGGCGCAAGCCUGAUCCAGCCAUGCCGCGUGUGUGAAGAAGGCCUUUUGGUUGUAAAGCACUUUUAGCGAGGAGGAGGCUACUUGGAUUAAUACUCUAGGAUAGUGGACGUUACUCGCAGAAUAAGCACCGGCUAACUCUGUGCCAGCAGCCGCGGUAAUACAGAGGGUGCGAGCGUUAAUCGGAUUUACUGGGCGUAAAGCGUGCGUAGGCGGCUUCUUAAGUCGGAUGUGAAAUCCCUGAGCUUAACUUAGGAAUUGCAUUCGAUACUGGGAAGCUAGAGUAUGGGAGAGGAUGGUAGAAUUCCAGGUGUAGCGGUGAAAUGCGUAGAGAUCUGGAGGAAUACCGAUGGCGAAGGCAGCCAUCUGGCCUAAUACUGACGCUGAGGUACGAAAGCAUGGGGAGCAAACAGG